GACGGACGCUGGCGGCGUGCUUAACACAUGCAAGUCGAACGGAAAGGCCCUGCUUUUGUGGGGUGCUCGAGUGGCGAACGGGUGAGUAACACGUGAGUAACCUGCCCUUGACUUUGGGAUAACUUCAGGAAACUGGGGCUAAUACCGGAUAGGAGCUCCUGCUGCAUGGUGGGGGUUGGAAAGUUUCGGCGGUUGGGGAUGGACUCGCGGCUUAUCAGCUUGUUGGUGGGGUUGUGGCUUACCAAGGCUUUGACGGGUAGCCGGCCUGAGAGGGUGACCGGCCACAUUGGGACUGAGAUACGGCCCAGACUCCUACGGGAGGCAGCAGUGGGGAAUAUUGCACAAUGGGCGGAAGCCUGAUGCAGCAACGCCGCGUGCGGGAUGACGGCCUUCGGGUUGUAAACCGCUUUCGCCUGUGACGAAGCGUGAGUGACGGUAAUGGGUAAAGAAGCACCGGCUAACUACGUG
This 468-nucleotide ribosomal RNA is filed under the name uncultured bacterium. Its description in RNAcentral is "partial 16S ribosomal RNA". It matches the Rfam family "Bacterial small subunit ribosomal RNA", at positions 28 to 507 of the family's 1533-position model. The record is from RNAcentral.